GGCUGGUGCAAAGCCCUGUGGAAAAUGGGCGAGACCAUGGAAGGGGAGAAAUCCACCAGACUCCACUCCAGUCCCUAUUUUUUUCCCCUUAGAGCCCAAGGGGUGAUGAACUGGCACAAACACCGUCGCUCACCAGCCGGGAUCUGACGUCCUUCCCAUCAGCCAAGUCGUACCCCCAGCGGCUCCUGAAGCAGGUCUGGCCAGGAAACCUUCAAGUAGCAGCACUUUCCCUUUUAAGCAGAGCUGAUACCAAAGAGCGGUGGGGACGCAAUCGAGGCGCCGAGGGACACUGGGACCGCCGCGUUUUGGUGGAUGGUGGAGGAGGAAAUCUGCUCACACCAAGACCUCUGACUCCCUGCCUGCGCAUACGCACCAUAUGCUCCAUCUUUACUUCAUGUAAAUCAAUGCUAAUCCACCGAUGCCAAUGAAGCCGGGCUAUUUUAGCCAUCGAGAACCCGGCCUUCUGUGUCGUACGCGCUCAGCUGUGACUUCGUGGUUUAAAAAAAUAUUAAGCAACUCUCAGUGGGGAGCAAGGGGCCACAUACACAUUUAAUUCAAGUGAAAUAAAAU
RNAcentral lists this long non-coding RNA (570 nucleotides) under Athene cunicularia (burrowing owl). RNAcentral's name for it is "lncRNA (ENSACUG00000005056.1)". The record is from RNAcentral. Lineage: Eukaryota; Metazoa; Chordata; Aves; Strigiformes; Strigidae.